RNAcentral lists this long non-coding RNA (737 nucleotides) under Capsicum annuum. RNAcentral's name for it is "long non-coding RNA (CANN_LNC020767)". The record is from RNAcentral. Lineage: Eukaryota; Viridiplantae; Streptophyta; Magnoliopsida; Solanales; Solanaceae.
CCGGGCUUCCCGUUGAUCAGAUGAUGGCAUUGUUGGUAUCAUAGGGUAUGAGGUGAAAAUGAUUCCACGUAUAGUGUAACUGGGUGCUGGUUGUCCUGAUCAAGAAUAAAGCUCAUAGAUAGAAUCAGCUUUGUGAAAUUUUAAAUAAAGCUCAGGGACUCGACAAGAUCUUAACAGUUUUGUCCCUGUGUAGAGAAAUACACUUAUAUAUACCUAUCUGGGGUGGAGAUAGUAUAUAACAUCUGGAUUUGGCCAAAUCCAGUAGCUUUGGUUUAAACCUUUUCAACUUGUUAAAUCACCACUACAUAUGUACAAAAAGUAAAUUUUUGUUCUUCUUUUGUACACUACCGAAAUAAAAAAGAGGCCAACUUGUUUGGAACUAAGUUGUGGUUGUAUUUACUGAAAUUUUGUUGCAUUUUGCUUCAAUUUCACAUUGAAAUGAAAGGGCCAAUCAGUUUAUUUGAUUGGCAACAACAUGAAUAUUUCCAUUGAACUAAAUCAUCAAUAAGUAAUAAUUUCCCAAAAGGACUACGUUCGUUUCAUUUCUAUAUAUAGGUGCAUGUAAUGUAAAGAACAGCAGAAGAAAGGUGUAAUUGAGGAAACCUUCUGCUAGCUAAGAUCGUUAACUAAGAUUGAAAAAUUCAACUAAGAAGAGGAAUCUAGAAAGGUGAAGGAAGAUUUUUAAAGGGAAAAUUUGAAUGUGGAAGAAGACUACUUGAAUUUGCUUUGUAUUGGAU